UAUAGAUUAAGUUAUUAAGGGCGCACGGUGGAUGCCUUGGCACUAGAAGCCGAAGAAGGACGUUACUAACGA
RNAcentral lists this ribosomal RNA (72 nucleotides) under Mammaliicoccus sciuri. Its description in RNAcentral is "Staphylococcus sciuri partial 23S ribosomal RNA". Lineage: Bacteria; Bacillati; Bacillota; Bacilli; Caryophanales; Staphylococcaceae. The record is from RNAcentral.